Molecule: ribosomal RNA, 916 nt
Filed under: uncultured archaeon
Lineage: Archaea
Description: SSU rRNA
Rfam family: Archaeal small subunit ribosomal RNA
Source: RNAcentral
UUUCCGGUUGAUCCCGCCGGACCUGACUGCUAUCGGAUUGAUACUAAGCCAUGCGAGUCUUUGUAGUAAUACAAGGCAUACGGCUCAGUAACACGUAGUCAACCUACCCUAUGGACAAGAAUAAUCUCGGGAAACUGAGCAUAAUUCUUGAUAGAUCAUAAUGCCUGGAAUGGUUUAUGGUUAAAAUGAUUCGUCGCCAUAGGAUGGGACUGCGGCCUAUCAGCUUGUUGGUGAGGUAAUGGCCCACCAAGGCGAUUACAGGUACGGGCUCUGAGAGGAGAAGCCCGGAGAUGGGUACUGAGACACGGACCCAGGCCCUAUGGGGCGCAGCAGGCGAGAAAACUUUGCAAUGUGCGAAAGCACGACAAGGUUAAUCCGAGUGAUUUCUGCUAAAGAAAUCUUUUGCCAGUCGUAAAACCGCUGGUGAAUAAGGGGUGGGCAAGUUCUGGUGUCAGCCGCCGCGGUAAAACCAGCACCUCAAGUGGUCAGGAUGAUUAUUGGGCCUAAAGCAUCCGUAGCCGGCUUUGUAAGUUUUCGGUUAAAUCCAUGUGCUCAACGCAUGGGCUGCCGAAAAUACUGUAUAGCUAGGGAGUGGGAGAGGUAGACGGUACUCAGUAGGUAGGGGUAAAAUCCUUUGAUCUAUUGAUGACCACCUGUGGCGAAGGCGGUCUACCAGAACACGUUCGACGGUGAGGGAUGAAAGCUGGGGGAGCAAACCGGAUUAGAUACCCGGGUAGUCCCAGCUGUAAACGAUGCAGACUGGAUGAUGCAUUGGCAUAAUAGCCAUUGCAGUGUCUCAGGGAAGCCGUUAAGUCUGCCGCCUGGGAAGUACGUACGCAAGUAUGAAACUUAAAGGAAUUGGCGGGGGAGCACCACAAGGGGUGAAGCCUGCGGUUCAAUUGGAGUCAACGCCGGG